AGAGUUUGAUCCUGGCUCAGAACGAACGCUGGCGGCGUGUCUUAAGCAUGCAAGUCGUGCGGCAAGGGUAGCAAUACCCCUAGAGCGGCGGACUGGUGAGUAACACGUGGGUGACCUGCCUCUGGGAUGGGGAUAGCCACUAGAAAUAGUGGGUAAUACCGAAUACGUUCACCGGACUGUGGUUUGGUGAAGAAAGGCGCUUCGGCGCCACCCGGAGAUGGGCCUGCGUCCCAUUAGCUAGUUGGUGAGGUAAAGGCCCACCAAGGCGAUGAUGGGUAUCCGGCCUGAGAGGGUGUACGGACACAUUGGGACUGAGAUACGGCCCAAACUCCUACGGGAGGCAGCAGCUAAGAAUAUUCCGCAAUGGACGAAAGUCUGACGGAGCGACGCCGCGUGGAUGAUGAAGGCCGAAAGGUUGUAAAAUCCUUUUGUUGGGGAAGAAUAAGCAUGGGAGGUAAUGCCCGUGUGAUGACAUGAACCGACGAAUAAGCCCCGGCUAACUACGUGCCAGCAGCCGCGGUAACACGUAGGGGGCGAGCGUUGUCCGGAAUUACUGGGCGUAAAGAGUGCGUAGGCGGAUAUUUAAGUGAGAUGUGAAAUACCCGGGCUUAACCCGGGCACUGCAUUUCAAACUGGAUAUCUAGAGUGCGGGAGAGGAGAAUGGAAUUCCUAGUGUAGCGGUGAAAUGCGUAGAGAUUAGGAAGAACACCAGUGGCGAAGGCGAUUCUCUGGACCGUAACUGACGCUGAGGCACGAAAGCGUGGGUAGCAAACAGGAUUAGAUACCCUGGUAGUCCACGCCGUAAACGAUGAGUACUAGGUGUAGGAGGUAUCGACCCCUUCUGUGCCGCAGUAAACACAAUAAGUACUCCGCCUGGGAAGUACGAUCGCAAGAUUAAAACUCAAAGGAAUUGACGGGGGCCCGCACAAGCAGCGGAGCAUGUGGUUUAAUUCGAAGCAACGCGAAGAACCUUACCUGGACUUGACAUACCCUGAAUAUCUUAGAGAUAAGAGAAGCCCUUCGGGGCAGGGAUACAGGUGGUGCAUGGUUGUCGUCAGCUCGUGUCGUGAGAUGUUGGGUUAAGUCCCGCAACGAGCGCAACCCUUGUUGAUAGUUGCCAGCGUAGAGACGGGCACUCUAUCGAGACUGCCGUGGAGAACACGGAGGAAGGUGGGGAUGACGUCAAAUCAUCAUGCCCUAUAUGCCCUGGGCUACACACGUGCUACAAUGGCCUGAACAGAGGGAAGCGAAGGAGCGAUCCGGAGCGAAUCCCAAAAAACAGGUCCCAGUUCAGAUUGCAGGCUGCAACCCGCCUGCAUGAAGUCGGAGUUGCUAGUAAUCGCGGAUCAGCAUGCCGCGGUGAAUACGUUCCCGGGCCUUGUACACACCGCCCGUCACACCACGAAAGUUUACAACACCCGAAGUCAGCCAGCUAACAGUACUUGUACUGAGGCAGCUGCCGAAGGUGGGGUAAGUGAUUGGGGUGAAGUCGUAACAAGGUAACC
This 1505-nucleotide ribosomal RNA is filed under the name uncultured bacterium. Its description in RNAcentral is "bacterial SSU rRNA". It matches the Rfam family "Bacterial small subunit ribosomal RNA". The record is from RNAcentral.